UGGGGAAUAUUGGGCAAUGGAGGAAACUCUGACCCAGCGACGCCGCGUGCGGGAUGAAGGCUUCGGGUUGUAAACCGCUUUCAGCAGGGAAGAAGCGAAAGUGACGGUACCGCAGAA
Molecule: ribosomal RNA, 117 nt
Filed under: uncultured bacterium
Lineage: Bacteria
Description: partial 16S ribosomal RNA
Rfam family: Bacterial small subunit ribosomal RNA
Source: RNAcentral